Molecule: ribosomal RNA, 423 nt
Filed under: uncultured bacterium
Lineage: Bacteria
Description: bacterial SSU rRNA
Rfam family: Bacterial small subunit ribosomal RNA
Source: RNAcentral
GGAAUUUUGGGCAAUGGGCGAAAGCCUGACCCAGCAACGCCGCGUGCAGGAUGAAGGCCCUCGGGUCGUAAACCUCUGUCGGGAGGGAAGAAUGGUUGCCGUUCGAAUAGGGCGGGAACCUGACGGUACCUCCAAAGGAAGCACCGGCUAACUCCGUGCCAGCAGCCGGGGUAAUACGGAGGGCGCAAGCGUUGUUCGGAAUCAUUGGGCGUAAAGCGCGUGUAGGCGGCUUGGCAAGUCGGUUGUGAAAGCCCGGGGCCCAACCCCGGAAUUGCAUCUGAAACUGCCUCGCUAGAGUCCCGGAGAGGAAGGCAGAAUUCCCGGUGUAGGGGUGAAAUCCGUAGAUAUCGGGAGGAAUACCAGCGGCGAAGGCGGCCUUCUGGACGGUGACUGACGCUGAGACGCGAAAGCGUGGGGAGCAAA